GACGAACGCUGGCGGCGUGCCUAAUACAUGCAAGUAGGCCGCAGUUGCGAACGGGUGAGUAACGCGUAGGUAACUGCCUCUUAGAGGGGGAUAACUAAUGGAAACGAUCGCUAAUACCGCAUACUAGUAGAUGGACCUGAGUUGUAUUGGAUAGUAGGUAGGGUAAUGGCCUACCUAGGCGACGAUACAUAGCCGACCUGAGGGGGUGAUCGGCCAACCUGGGACUGAUACACGGCCCAGCCUCCUACUGGAGGCAGCAGUAGGGAAUCGUCGGGAAUGGGUGGAACCCUGACCGAGCACCGCCGCGUGAGUGAAGAAGUUUUUCGGAUCGUAAAGCUCUGUUGUUAAGGAAGCGGUACUUAACCAGAAAGGGACGGCUAACUACGUGCCAGCAGCCGCGGUAAUAC
This 407-nucleotide ribosomal RNA is filed under the name uncultured bacterium. RNAcentral's name for it is "partial 16S ribosomal RNA". It matches the Rfam family "Bacterial small subunit ribosomal RNA", at positions 28 to 526 of the family's 1533-position model. The record is from RNAcentral.